GAUGAACGCUGGCGGCGUGCCUAAUACAUGCAAGUCGAGCGAACAGACGAGGAGCUUGCUCCUCUGACGUUAGCGGCGGACGGGUGAGUAACACGUGGAUAACCUACCUAUAAGACUGGGAUAACUUCGGGAAACCGGAGCUAAUACCGGAUAAUAUAUUGAACCGCAUGGUUCAAUAGUGAAAGACGGCUUUGCUGUCACUUAUAGAUGGAUCCGCGCCGCAUUAGCUAGUUGGUAAGGUAACGGCUUACCAAGGCAACGAUGCGUAGCCGACCUGAGAGAGUGAUAGGCCACACUGGAACUGGGACACGGACCAGACGCCUACGGGAGGCAGCAGUAGGGAAUCUUCCGCAAUGGGCGAAAGCCUGACGGAGCAACGCCGCGUGAGUGAUGAAGGUCUUCGGAUCGUAAAACUCUGUUAUUAGGGAAGAACAAAUGUGUAAGUAACUAUGCACGUCUUGACGGUACCUAAUCAGAAAGCCACGGCUAACUACGUG
RNAcentral lists this ribosomal RNA (497 nucleotides) under uncultured bacterium. RNAcentral describes it as "partial 16S ribosomal RNA". It matches the Rfam family "Bacterial small subunit ribosomal RNA", at positions 28 to 507 of the family's 1533-position model. The record is from RNAcentral.